UAAACUAAAAAAAAUAAAAAAACAAAAAAAAAACAAAAGUAACAGCAUUGCUUCAUCGUCCUCCUCUCUCACUUCACUCAGCUCUCUCAAACCCCACGUUUUUCUCAAACGCUCUCAAUCGCACUCAAUCGUCUCUCCCGCGUCCAAACUCUCUCUCGCGUCCAAGCUCUCUCUCUCGUUCCCAAUCUCAAUCGCUCUCAAUCUCUCUCUCGUCCAAACAGCAUGAAAGUUUGAAAGGAAGCUCACCUUCGGUGAAUCGGUAGCUCAGAUAGGGUUUUGAGUUUGAUGCUCAAUGGUCCAAUGGAGAAUGUUUUCAGAAGUGCUUUUGGAUGCUAAGAAUUGGAGUGCCUUCUUUGAUCAUUGGACUCAGAAAGUGACUUAAAUGGAGCAUUGAUUUUUAACCGCCUUCGACCAUGUGAAGGAAUUUGUAGACAUCCAUCUAAGUGAAGCAGUACCAAUAACACCUCCAGCCGGUAGACCAUCAACGAAGGGCAUCUUGAAGAUGUUGAUCGUCUAUGAUGAUGCUCCACUUCUUAAGAACUCGAAAUGGGAAAAGCAGGUGAAAUAUUCAGAAAGUCUGCAUUUGAAGCAUCUGUACUAACUUUACUAUGUGCGAACUUCAACAGGUACAGGAGGAAUGGCCGCACGGCAUCUUUGAAAUUGAGAAGGCAAACAAGGACUCUCCUGGGAUUUGCUUUCUAAUGGAUGGUUAAUCGUGUUCAAAUCAUCCCCAUCAAUUGCUAUAUCUGAGUCACUUUGAUCAUCUUCCUCGGAACCGGAUGGAUUUCCAUAUGCUAUAGCCAACAGCGCAAAAGUCGUGUUUCCUUUUUCAGUAUUUGAAGCUUCCAUAUAACUUUGAUCAGCAAUUUGUGCCUGUUGUUCAGAAGACUCAAUAGGAACAUCAUAUAAAUCAUUUCCGGCAAUUCUGUUUUGUUCGUCCUGGAUACGUGCCCUGCUCGGGAAUGCUUACAUCUUCAUGCACAGCAGUAAACUUAUUUCUAGUUACUCCAGAAUCAAUUGUCCCAUCAUUAAAGAAGCUACAAUCAACUGACAUUAGGUUUGGAAAUAUUGGAUGGCUGGCAUGCUAGCAUUGAGUUGGCAACAGGUGUUUCAAAUGGGGGAUGGGAUGAUGCUAGCAGGAUUAAUACCAAUUGAGUUGGUCAAAGCCAAAUUUCAUGUGGUCAAUGUAAUGGAUGUCCAACCUUGCAAAUCCACUGCCCUGGAUCGCUGCAGUCCUAAUGUGGUGUUGUACAGGACCAAGGUUUUGAUGAUGUAUGUCUACUGUUUUGGCCAUGAUUGGCAUGAAUCCAUAGGGUGAUGAUAGGGUCGUGGCUGCUACAGGACCAUGAUUGCAGGAUACUUGCCAAGGGGUCCAAUUAACUGCAAAGAGCAACUGACUAGUAGCUUCAAAUGUGGUCAAUACAGAUUGAAUAACUCCACGCCCAUACAAACAAUUCAGCAGAACAGGAUUGCAAGAAUCUGGCCUCUCCAUUAAAAUAAUAUCAAAAAAAAAUCCAUGACUUUGCCAAAAUAACGGCAUUUUGUUGAUAUUGAAGCUUCAGUUACAUGGCCACCAAAAUUCAUGUGAUCUAAAGCAAUGCAUGCAAGAGUAGAAGCCACUGAUUUUGAAGCAGGGCUUACGCUCACAAUAUCAUCACGUCGGCGAGAAAGUUGCAGCAUUAUUUUUUCCAACUCUUGGAACAGAUGGGUUAUGUGAAAUGAAAGUGAUCUGACCAUGUCACAAUAAGAAGCAUAAUGCGUCCUCUGCUUGUCACACUCCUUAUUAUUAUCCCCAGAAACAUCCACAGACCCUGCAUGAUUCAACUGAUUACUGGAACCUAACCGCCUGUUUGAAGAACCAAUAGAAUUUGUUUGGUGUGGAGAACCAGUGGCACGGCCCAAAUCUCGAUAGAGGUUAAUAAGAUCAAAAAACUGUGAUUCUAUUCCCCAGCCUGAUGUCCUCCGUCUGAGUAAUGGAUCAAGAAUCUGCCUGAAAGAAUUGAACCUUUGAUCUUCAGUUUCGUGUGCAUCGGCUUCAGCCUGUUGUGAAUCAGUUAAAGAACUAGCAACAUCAUCCUCUAUCUCACGCUUUGUAUUUUCAAGUAGAGAGAUUUGCUACAAAAUUUCACGGUGGACAUGACCAAUGUUUUCAAGAACAUCCUUGCUGUCAUUUCCAAAUUCUGUAAGCAAAGCAGUCAUCCAGCGGCUGUCUUUUGAAGCAGCAAGAAAGAGAAGGAACUCGACCAGGAAAAGUGAAGAAAAUGUGUUGCAGCAGCUAAUCUGAUAUGAGCCUUGUCGUUUUCACUAUCAACGAAAUCAUCAGUCUCCCGUAGCAUUCUUGAUAAAAUAUCCAUGAGUCCAUUAAUGUUCUGCUUCGUGUGUGUCGUCACUAAUUAAUACUCCUGUUGUUUGAGUGGUCUCAAUGAUGGUGCCAAGUGGAAAAGAACCUUCUAAGCUUAUUGCCAUAUUUAGAACACAUCCAGCACGCUCGAUGCUCCAUGGAGGGGUAUCACUCCAAAUCCCAACAAAAUCCACACGGAUGGGUAAUUCUACUUUAAACUUUCUAGGAUGGAAAGGCUGAUGAAUGUAAUCAUUAUGAUGGCUGUUAAUCUGAUGUUAUGUUAAUUAUUGUUUAUGUUUGUAGAAAAAAAAUAUUCCAAUUCAGAAAUCCAAAUUCAAGUCAAUAUUUUCUGGUUU
Long non-coding RNA from Lathyrus oleraceus (garden pea), 2697 nucleotides. RefSeq lists it as uncharacterized. The transcript is spliced from 6 exons. NCBI's taxonomy places the organism in Eukaryota, Viridiplantae, Streptophyta, Magnoliopsida, Fabales, Fabaceae. The record is from RefSeq and is a predicted model, not a curated record.